RNAcentral lists this long non-coding RNA (359 nucleotides) under Prunus persica (peach). RNAcentral's name for it is "long non-coding RNA (PPER_LNC007076)". The record is from RNAcentral. Lineage: Eukaryota; Viridiplantae; Streptophyta; Magnoliopsida; Rosales; Rosaceae.
UUUUUAUGAUAAUCUAAUGAGGUAAUUAAUGCUUGUUUUUGUUGGGUUUAAGCUUUAAAAUAAGAUGCUUCGAUAAAGAAUCGAACAUUUUAUUAUUAUAUAAGAAAGUGGCGGAGGAAUACAUUUUUGUAGAUUGCCAGAGGAUCUCCAAUCCCUAUAAGCAUAAUCUUUGUAAGCAAGAAUAGUCAGAGAGCCGACCUGCAGAUUCUCGACACGUGUCCACCGAUGAUUUCCCCCACCCAAAAAAAAAUAAAAAUAAAAUAUUCAGAGAGCCAAAUGAAUUGGCAUUGUCUUCCCAAGCACACACCAAAUUCAAUGAUCAAAAACUCCCAAAUGGGUGUCCCUUUCUAAGCCCAAAU